GAAUGUCAUACAUCCGAGGUCUAAUGUCAGAUAUGAUUAUAUGUUUGACUUUUUCUUUCUAGACAGUAAUGUACACGUGCUUGAAUUCACUGGCAAGGGAAAAACAAAAGAGGUUUAUGAGGGUUUGGAAGGGAAUUGGAUAGUCGUAUGGGCACUACAAACCCCAAAGGAGAUGUAAUAUGUGAGUGUCAAGACAAAACAUGAGAUACCAAAAGUUGCCCCGAUUUGUUGUUUGGGAAAAUGAGCUAGGGUUUGGAUCCAUGAAAAUUAGGGUGAAAAUUCAAAGGAGAUCCAUAAGGCUGCCUCAGUCUCGAGAUUAUGGGCUGAUGAAUUGCAAGGUGAAAAAUUCAUGUGAGUUUCACAAGGUUGCCCUAGUUUUGAGGGUAUGGGUUCUGUUUGGAAGAGGUAGUGGGCAUGAAAAGGAUCGGCUAACAAGGUUGGCCCCAAUUGGUUUGAUUUUUUUUUGCUUCUGGCUAGUUGAUAGGGAGAUUCCCUUUUCCUGAGACAUUACAUUUUUCCUCUUCCUUUGUUUUUUUUUUUUGUUGUUUUUUUUUUCUACUUUUUUUUUACGACACAUUGAAAGUCACUUCGCCUUAACGCAAAAUUAAGCUUUAUGAAAAUUUGAGCAAUCAUUAUCCAAUCUGUGUGGGCUUU
RNAcentral lists this long non-coding RNA (654 nucleotides) under Vigna radiata. Its description in RNAcentral is "long non-coding RNA (VRAD_LNC005308)". The record is from RNAcentral. Lineage: Eukaryota; Viridiplantae; Streptophyta; Magnoliopsida; Fabales; Fabaceae.